CAGCAUGUUUUAGGUAUAAGUUGACAGUACCUUUUAAUGUGCUUUUAAUAGAACCUUAUUUUCAGGAAGCUACUCUUGCUAAAAUGAAAAUGAGUUUGCUCUCCUUUACAGAAUGUUAAUCUAAAAAGGGCUACUGUGAGUCAUAAAUCCCAAAGAGUUAACAACUAAUUACACUAUACUUUGGAAGCUAAUUAUACAAAAGCAUACAAAAAGAAAACAUCAGAGUAUUAUUACAAUAUCUCUCUAUAUAAAAUAUGUGCAAAAUUCAAUAUACAAGCUUCUUGUUACUCAUCCAAGUUUUUUAAAAAUAAUGUAAACGUUAACUUAUUUAAACCAAUAUAAGUAGUUUGAUGUUACUCCUGGAAAACAAAGAUUGUCGGUACAAGAACCUCCGUAGCUUGGAGGGCAAGCAGAGCAUGGGACUCCUACUUUAUAUGGUGCCUCUCCAAUCCAAUUCCCCUUUGGGGCAUAGUUGCAUACCAAGUAAACAGCUCGUCGCCAAACAGAUCCCCAGACGUUCAUAUUUUGGCAUGUGUGGAUUGCGCAGCCUAUACGAUUGGAAGUGGCCCAAACCAUCUGUGUGUAAUGGGUGCACAUGGGUCCAUAGCAUCGCAUGGGGCACCUGGGGUUGCAGUCCUGAGGAUAAGGAAAAGCAUAAUCCUUCACUUCAUCAUACCAUGGCUUUACCAACUGGAGAAU
RNAcentral lists this long non-coding RNA (699 nucleotides) under Gallus gallus (chicken). The record is from RNAcentral. Lineage: Eukaryota; Metazoa; Chordata; Aves; Galliformes; Phasianidae.